AUGUCUUUGACCGCUGCUUCUGCCACCUCUGCCCAAGGUGGUCAUCCAGCAAGGGACCAGCCAGACUCCAAUGGCUCCUCCUCUGGCAAGCCCAGUGCUCUGAGGCAGGAGCUUCUCAUUCACCUGCUUGUAGUACAAGUGAGCAUAUCUUCAACAUGUCUUUUUCUCUCUUUAAUUGCAGCAAGUGCCACAGCCCCGACGGUCUUCCCAUUGCCUCCCUGUAGCCAAGACUCCUCUACCGCCUCCCAGGUCUCCAUAGGUUGUCUGGUCUCUGGCUACUUUCCUGAACCAGUCACAGUACAGUGGAAUUCGGGAGCCAUCUCCAGCGGCAUCCAAACCUUCCCUGCACUAUUGGAUUCAUCCAGGGGCCUCUACACCCUCACCAGCCAGCUCACCAUCCCAACCAGCACCUGGGAAUCGGAGAAGUUCGAAUGCAAUGUCACACAUGCAGCUACUGGCUUCACAGCCAACAAAGACAUUGCACACUCUCCUGUGAAACCACCAGUGGUCCCAGAGGUCCGCCUGCUCCAUUCCUCCUGCGAUCCCAGGCAUGCCACCAUUGAGCUGCUGUGCAUUAUCUCCAGCUUCUACCCCAGCAGGGUGACGAUAGAGUGGCUAGUGGGUGGGCAACCUGGCUUGCUAUCCUCGAUCACAGCACCGCCCAGGAAGGAUGCCCACGGGUACACCUUCAGUACCACAAGCACAGUCAAUGUUAGCAAAGAAGACUGGCAGGCUGGGAAUACCUACCACUGCCAGGUGUUCCACGAAGCAACCCAAACCAAAUUGAAAAGCAAAGCCAAGAUAUGUGAAGAUAAUACUGAUUGCCCCUCCGCUGGCAUUAGCGUGCGAAUCAUGCCCCCAACCGCAAAAGACUUGUACAUAAACAGAGACCCUACGCUCACCUGUGUGGUGGAAAAUCUGGAAAAUGCAGACGGGCUGAAAGUCACCUGGUCACGGGCAGGUUCUGGACCUGUGAGCCCAGGUUUAUUGGAAGUGAAAGAAGAGCUUAAUGGAAAGUACACCGCGACCAGCUCCCUCCCUGUCACAACUUGGCUGCAGGGUGAGGAAUUCACCUGCAAGGUGGAAUAUCCAAGCUUGGCUUCUCCCAUCAAUAGGACCAUUGCCAAGAUGACAGGCGACAUAAAGGCUCCCAAGGUGUUCCUCUUCUCCCCGCACAACGAGGAAAUCCGUGCUCGGCCACCAAUGCUGACAGUCACUUGCCUGGUCACAGGAUUCACCCCAAAAGAAGUUUCUAUCCAGUGGCUGAAGAAUCACAAUGCUGUGCCUGAAGACCAUCAUGUCAACACACCGGUCAUGAAGGACAAGAAAAACAACUCCCACUUCAUCUACAGCAAGCUGACAAUCCCAUUCUCUGACUGGAACAAUGGAACCCCUUUCACUUGCAUAGUUUACCACGAAGCCCUCCCUAUGAAGUUCACCCAGAGGACCGUGGAGAAAACCCAGGGUAAAAAAAUCCCCCUCAACCUCUCCCAUCACAACCACCAGCAGCUUCAUCCUUUGGUCAACUGGCACCAGGCCUCUGUUCCUCAAUGGUUCAAACUAGUCAAUUGUGGCAGAGCUGUGGAGUUCACUGCAGACCCAGAAACAACGGCAGAGGUGACUGUGUCAACAAUGGAUGAUUACAGUGAUGAGAAAGAGGAGGAACUGGACCGCCUGUGGCGAACCAUCUUCAUUUUCUUUGUUCUCUUCCUCCUCAGUGUUUCUUAUAGUGCCACCAUUACACUGUUCAAAGUAAAAUGGCUCUUCUCCACUGUGAUGCUCCUGAAGAAGCAGUCGUUGGGCCCUGACUAUAAGAACGUUAGCCAAAGAGUGGCCUAG
This is a non-coding RNA of Podarcis raffonei (Aeolian wall lizard), 1839 nucleotides long. NCBI's taxonomy places the organism in Eukaryota, Metazoa, Chordata, Lepidosauria, Squamata, Lacertidae. The record is from the annotation of a RefSeq genome assembly.